GCACAAACAUGUCAGACACAGCUGAAAGAAUGGAAAUAGACUGGUAGAGAGAGGAAGGCACUGAGCCACAUGAAGGUAUGUGCGUAGGUUUUGUUCAGUGGAAAUAGACUGGUAGAGAGAGGAAGGCACUGAACCACAUGAAGGUACGUGUGUAGGUUUUGUUCAGUGACUUCUUCAGUGUCUCAGCCAGCUGAGCAAAUAAAGACACUACAUAGGCAUAGUUCAUGUUC
RNAcentral lists this long non-coding RNA (230 nucleotides) under Homo sapiens (human). RNAcentral's name for it is "HSALNT0317042". Lineage: Eukaryota; Metazoa; Chordata; Mammalia; Primates; Hominidae. The record is from RNAcentral.